AUUGAACGCUGGCGGCAGGCCUAACACAUGCAAGUCGAGCGGAGCGGCGGUCGGGUGAGUAAUGCCCAGGAAUCUGCCUGGUCCUGGGGGAUAAAGUCCGGAAACGGGCGCUAAUACCGCCUACUAUUAGAUGAGCCUAUGCCCGAUUGGCAAGGUGGUGGGGUAAAGGUCUACCAAAGCGACGAUCCCUAGCUGGUCUGAGAGGAUGAUCAGUCACACUGGAACUUAUACACGGUCCAGACUCCUACGGGAGGCAGCAGUGGGGAAUAUGGGACAAUGGGCGAAAGCCUGAUGCAGCCAUGCCGCGUGUAUGAAGAAGGUCUUCGGAUUGUAAAGCACUUUAAGUUGGGAGGCGUUACCAGCAGAAGAAGCACCGGCUAACUGCGUGCCAGCAGCCGCGGUAAUUC
Molecule: ribosomal RNA, 407 nt
Filed under: uncultured bacterium
Lineage: Bacteria
Description: partial 16S ribosomal RNA
Rfam family: Bacterial small subunit ribosomal RNA
Source: RNAcentral